CAAGACCCACAAGGUCGAGGUUGAAAGGUGGAAGCAGAAGAAGCGGGGGAGGAAAGGUGUUUAUGUGACACCCAUGAAGAAGCCUUUCGCAUUCCAGAAACCUAAAAAGCCAAAGGUUUCCAAGAAAACAUCGAGCCAGACUGAGGUACACAAAAAGCUUGAAGUUCACCUUGUGAACCAUGAUGACCCAUCUGCAAAAGAAAUGGAAAGAGCCUGUCUGGAAAUAAUCGGAACACCAACUUCAGAAGCCACAGUGUCUCAAAAAAUGCAAAAGAGUGAAAUGAAGACGGAUGAAGAAGAGCAGCUAAAGUCACUGUGGAAAAAGAAGAACAUAGAAGUGGUCGUGGCAGUCAUACCAUCUGCCAACCAGUCUGGUUCAUCCUUCCUCAUACAUCACAGUGAACUCUGAUCACUGAG
Long non-coding RNA from Sphaeramia orbicularis (orbiculate cardinalfish), 417 nucleotides. RefSeq lists it as uncharacterized. Lineage: Eukaryota; Metazoa; Chordata; Actinopteri; Kurtiformes; Apogonidae. The transcript has 4 exons. The record is from RefSeq and is a predicted model, not a curated record.